RNAcentral lists this long non-coding RNA (1140 nucleotides) under Anser cygnoides (Swan goose). RNAcentral describes it as "lncRNA (ENSACDG00005017129.1)". Lineage: Eukaryota; Metazoa; Chordata; Aves; Anseriformes; Anatidae. The record is from RNAcentral.
UCCAGCUGACCUGCACCAUACUGCUGACAUCCCUGGCAAGCUCUCUAUAACUCCUCCUGUCAGCUCGUGCUCACCACAGCUAUGGAACUUCUUUCCUACUCUCCUCCAGGUAAACAGAAGGCCCCAGAAAAAAUUAAAAUAAAAUAAAAUAAAACAAAAUAAUAAAAUAAAAUAAAAUAAAAUAAAAUAAAAUAAAAUAAAAUAAAUCUUAACUUGUGGUGGAUCUGAUGAGCCUCAAGAAUUUGAGUGGUUCCAUUAAACUUGAUGGGGAUACUCACUGGUUUCAGGCUACACGAGUAGGCAGAGUCUGUACUGGAUCAGGCCCACAAUGAGUAGGAGUGAAACAAUGGGCCACUAUGACAUUUCAUUAGAAAUGUUUAAUAAGUAUCUGGAGUGUGGGAGGAAACACCUCAAGAAUUGAAAAGCCCCCUCCAAAGGAGAGAAAUUACCACUGAACUUAGAGAAAAGUAGGGGGGAUACUCAGCUAGACACUGGGAUAAAAUCCAGCUCUUUUCAUUUCACUACUCUGAUAUGUGGACCAGGAUGGAGUGAACUACAGAGGAGAAAGACACACCUCAGGAACAACCAGGAAGCUUGUUUGGAGAAAAUACCUAUCACUCAAACCUGGCUUUUAUCACUCAGCUCCAUCAUCAUGCACAGCUGAUGUGGGGAAUCUGGAAACUGAAGAACACCGUUAGUGAUGAGCUGCAGCAGAAACAGAGGCACCCAGACAGAGCAAUGCAGCUGAAACAGGUUAAUCUGAAACUCUUUUUCCUUCUACCAUCUCCUCCUUGCUCCACGUUGCACUUGUAAACUUCAAGUAAAAGUGUAACAACAUCUCCAAUGGAAAAAUGCUGUCUUGUCUGCAUAGCCUAUAUAGGCUCAAACAUCAUUUCAAUCCGGAUAAUGAAAAAUGCAAAUACCCAGUGAAAAAAAGCAGCACAUAGGCAUGUAAUUAAAUGUGGCAUUUUUCUGCAAAAGGGAGAAAGACCAAAUAGAGAUUGUAGUGUAACUUUAGCAAAAUUAUUUUUGUCACCCUUCAUAAAGUUAUCCUAACAUAAUAUGCAGUUCCUUAGUAAUGUUACAGGUUUAAAAAAUAAGUAAUCUAUGUGGAAAUAAAAAUUUUAGCAUGUAGGAGCA